RNAcentral lists this ribosomal RNA (301 nucleotides) under uncultured bacterium. Its description in RNAcentral is "partial 16S ribosomal RNA". It matches the Rfam family "Bacterial small subunit ribosomal RNA", at positions 509 to 809 of the family's 1533-position model. The record is from RNAcentral.
CAGCCGCCGCGGUAAUACGUAGGGUGCAAGCGUUAAUCGGAAUUACUGGGCGUAAAGCGUGCGCAGGCGGUUAUAUAAGACAGAUGUGAAAUCCCCGGGCUCAACCUGGGAACUGCAUUUGUGACUGUAUAGCUAGAGUACGGCAGAGGGGGAUGGAAUUCCGCGUGUAGCAGUGAAAUGCGUAGAUAUGCGGAGGAACACCGAUGGCGAAGGCAAUCCCCUGGGCCUGUACUGACGCUCAUGCACGAAAGCGUGGGGAGCAAACAGGAUUAGAUACCCCAGUAGUCCCUGUCUCUUAUAA